Small RNA from Flavobacterium micromati, 81 nucleotides. It matches the Rfam family "Flavo-1 RNA". The record is from Rfam. NCBI's taxonomy places the organism in Bacteria, Pseudomonadati, Bacteroidota, Flavobacteriia, Flavobacteriales, Flavobacteriaceae.
AACUAGCCCCGAUUGCAGGGAAAAUCCUUUUUGUAAGCCGGUAGGCGAACAAAAAGAUUGCACUGAAAAGCGGGACGAAAG